This 1292-nucleotide ribosomal RNA is filed under the name Andrena camellia. Its description in RNAcentral is "16S ribosomal RNA". The record is from RNAcentral. Lineage: Eukaryota; Metazoa; Arthropoda; Insecta; Hymenoptera; Andrenidae.
AUUUAAUAUUUAUGGAUUUUUUGUUUGUUUAUUUAUUAUUUUAAUAAAAGUAAUUUAAUUUAUAAUUGUUUUAGUAUUAGAUUUUGAACUGAUUUAUUUUUAUAUAGUUGUAGUAUUGUGAAAGAUUAAUGUUUUAUUUAAUUAAGUAAAUUUAUUUUUUACCUUUUGUAUCAGGGUUUAUUAAUUAAUUAGUAUAAAUUUUAUUGAUCUCGAAGUUAAAAGAGUUAAAUAUGAAUUAUUUUUUAUGUUGUAUAAUAAUUAUAAAUUUAUAUUUAGAAGUGAUAUGUUAUUCGAUUUUAUUGAUAUCUGGUUUUUUCCGAAAUGAAUUUAAUUCAUAUAUUUAAUUUAAUAAUAAAAUUAUUUUUUGUUUAUGUUGGAUAUAAAGAAUUAAUGGGAUAAUCUAUUAAUUUAUAUUUAUUAUUUAUUAAUUUGAUUUAAUAAUUGUAAUUUUAAAAUUUAAUUUCAUUGAUGAUAAUUUAAUAAUUUAUUUUAUUAUUUAAAAAUUUAAUUAUUAAAUGUAACUUUUUAGGAUAAAUUAUAUAUUAAUAAUUUUUGUAUAGUUAUAAUGAUAAAAUUAGUAGUUGAUUUUUGUAAGUAAUAUUUUAAUUUUUAAAUAGAUUAAAGGAACUCGGCAAAUUAAAUAUUCACCUGUUUAUCAAAAACAUGUCUUUUUGUUUAUAAUUUAAGGUCUGCUCUGCCCAAUGAGUUAUUUUAAAUGGCUGCAGUAUAUUGACUGUACAAAGGUAGCAUAAUAAUUAGUCUUUUUAUUGGAGGCUUGAAUGAAUGAGUUGAUGAAAUAUUUACUGUCUCUAUUUUAUUGUAUUAAUUUAAAUUUUAAGUAAAAAUGCUUAAAUUAUUAUAUGGGACGAGAAGACCCUAUAGAAUUUUAUAAUUUAUAUUAAUAUAUAAAUAUAUUAAUAUAAAUUAUUUUGUUGGGAGGAUGUUUAAAUUUAUUUAACUUUAAAAUUUUUAAUCAAUUAUUUUUGUUUUAUAAGAUAGUUUAUUAUGAAUUGUUAGAUUAAAUUACCUUAGGGAUAACAGCGUAAUAUCUUUGGAGAGAUCAUAUUUAUAAAGAUGUUUGCGACCUCGAUGUUGAAUUAAAGUAUAAUUUAAAUGUAGGAGUUUAAAUUUUAAGUCUGUUCGACUUUUAAUAUUUUACAUGAUUUGAGUUCAGAUCGGCGUGAGCCAGAUCGGUUUCUAUCUAUAUUUAAAUAAUAAAUUUUUGUACGAAAGGACUUAAUUUAUGAACUAUUUUUUUUUUAUUAUAUUAAGAUUUUAAAUAAUAAGUUUAA